CCUGCCAAUGAUUAUUGAAUGGCCGCGGUACUCUUACCGUGCGAAGGUAGCAUAAUCACUUGUUCAUUAAAUGUGGACUAGAAUGAACGGCACCACGAGGGUUAUACUGUCUCCCUACUCUAAUCAAUGAAACUAUUCUUCCCGUGAAGAAACGGGAAUUUUUAUAUAAGACGAGAAGACCCCAUGGAGCUUUAAACCCAGAACAUCUACUAAUUCCUUUUCCAACCAAAUAUAUAGUACUUAUGCCCCUGGUUUUCGGUUGGGGCGACCACGGAGUAAAUAAUAACCUCCAUGAUGAACAAAUUAUACUUUUACCUAAGAACCACAUUUCUAAGGACCAUCAAUAUGACAUUUCUUGACCCAAGUUUACUUGAUCAACGAACCUAGUUACCCUGGGGAUAACAGCGCAAUCCAUUUCAAGAGCUCAUAUCGACAAAUGGGUUUACGACCUCGAUGUUGGAUCAGGGUAUCCCAGUGGUGCAGCCGCUACUAAAGGUUUGUUUGUUCAACAAUUAAUAACCCU
Molecule: ribosomal RNA, 523 nt
Filed under: Probreviceps sp. MTSN 8903
Lineage: Eukaryota; Metazoa; Chordata; Amphibia; Anura; Brevicipitidae
Description: partial 16S ribosomal RNA
Rfam family: Bacterial large subunit ribosomal RNA
Source: RNAcentral